AUACGUAGGUGGCGAGCGUUGUCCGGAAUUACUGGGCGUAAAGGGAGCGCAGGCGGGAAUGCAAGUUGGAUGUGAAAUACCGAGGCUUAACCUCGGGGCUGCAUCCAAAACUGUAUUUCUUGAGUGAAGUAGAGGUAGGCGGAAUUCCGAGUGUAGCGGUGGAAUGCGUAGAUAUUCGGAGGAACACCAGUGGCGAAGGCGGCCUACUGGGCUUUAACGGACGCUGAGGCUCGAAAGUGUGGGGAGCAAACAGGAUUAGAUACCCUGGUAGUCCACACUGUAAACGAUGAUUACUAGGUGUGGGGGGUCUGACCCCUUCUGUGCCGUAGCUAACGCAAUAAGUAAUCCACCUGGGGAGUACGAUCGCAAGGUUGAAACUCAAAUGAAUUGACGGGG
Molecule: ribosomal RNA, 396 nt
Filed under: uncultured bacterium
Lineage: Bacteria
Description: partial 16S ribosomal RNA
Rfam family: Bacterial small subunit ribosomal RNA
Source: RNAcentral